AAUUCCUUGUCGGGUAAGUUCCGACCUGCACGAAUGGCGUAACGACUUCCCCACUGUCUCCAACACCAACUCAGCGAAAUUGAAUUCUCCGUGAAGAUGCGGAGUACCCGCGGUCAGACGGAAAGACCCCGUGCACCUUUACUACAGCUUCACACUGGUAUUCGUCACGACAUGUGUAGGAUAGGUGGUAGACGUUGAAGCAGGAGCGCCAGCUCUUGUGGAGUCACCCUUGAAAUACCACCCUUGUCGUCAUGGAUAUCUAACCGCGGUACAACAAUAUCCGGGACCGUGUGUGGCGGGUAGUUUGACUGGGGCGGUCGCCUCCCAAAUGGUAACGGAGGCGCGCGAAGGUGGGCUCAGAGCGGUCGGAAAUCGCUCGUUGAGUGCAAUGGCAUAAGCCUGCCUGACUGCGAGACUGACAAGUCGAGCAGAGACGAAAGUCGGUCAUAGUGAUCCGGUGGUCCCGCGUGGAAGGGCCAUCGCUCAACGGAUAAAAGGUACGCCGGGGA
This 509-nucleotide ribosomal RNA is filed under the name uncultured Vexilliferidae. RNAcentral's name for it is "partial Bacterial large subunit ribosomal RNA". It matches the Rfam family "Bacterial large subunit ribosomal RNA", at positions 1963 to 2474 of the family's 2925-position model. Lineage: Eukaryota; Discosea; Flabellinia; Dactylopodida; Vexilliferidae. The record is from RNAcentral.